Molecule: ribosomal RNA, 467 nt
Filed under: uncultured bacterium
Lineage: Bacteria
Description: bacterial SSU rRNA
Rfam family: Bacterial small subunit ribosomal RNA
Source: RNAcentral
UUCCAGACUCCUACGGGAGGCAGCAGUGAGGAAUAUUGGUCAAUGGGCGGGAGCCUGAACCAGCCAAGCCGCGUGAGGGAAGAAGGUCCAGCGUAUCGUAAACCUCUUUUGUCAGGGAACAAAGGCGGGGACUAGUCCCCGGAUGAGGGUACCUGAAGAAAAAGCAUCGGCUAACUCCGUGCCAGCAGCCGCGGUAAUACGGAGGAUGCGAGCGUUAUCCGGAUUUAUUGGGUUUAAAGGGUGCGCAGGCGGCACGGCAGGCCGGCGGUCAAAUCGCGGGGCUCAACCCCGCCCAGCCGUCGGAACUGCCGGGCUAGAGUGGGCGAGAAGUGCGCGGAAUGCGUGGUGUAGCGGUGAAAUGCAUAGAUAUCACGCAGAACUCCGAUUGCGAAGGCAGCGCACCGGCGCCCUACUGACGCUCAGGCACGAAAGCGUGGGUAUCGAACAGGAUUAGAUACCCCUGUAAC